CUACGGGGUGCAGCAGUUAGGAAUAAUCUACAAUGCGCGAAAGCGUGAUAGUUUGAGCCAGAGUGUUUUCCAAAUUUGGACAACUUUUGUGAAAUGUAAAAAGUUUCACGAAUAAGGACUGGGUAAGACUAGUGCCAGCCGCCGCGGUAAUACCAGCGGUCCAAGUCGCAGCCAUUUUUAUUGGGUCUAAAACAUCCGUAGCUUGUUUUGUAAGUCUCUUGUGAAAUUUUAUAUCUUAAAUAUAGAGCGUGCAAGAGGUACUGCAAAGUUAGAGACUGGAAGACGUAGGAAGUACGAUUAAAGUAGCGGUAAAAUGCGUUAAUCUUAAUCGGACUCACAAUGGCGAAGGCAUCCUACGAGGACAGUUCUGACAGUAAGGGAUGAAAGCUAGGGGCGCAAAACGGAUUAGAUACCCCAGUAGUC
This 423-nucleotide ribosomal RNA is filed under the name uncultured archaeon. RNAcentral's name for it is "partial 16S ribosomal RNA". It matches the Rfam family "Archaeal small subunit ribosomal RNA", at positions 323 to 746 of the family's 1478-position model. The record is from RNAcentral.